RNAcentral lists this ribosomal RNA (465 nucleotides) under Vreelandella stevensii. RNAcentral describes it as "partial 16S ribosomal RNA". It matches the Rfam family "Bacterial small subunit ribosomal RNA", at positions 338 to 795 of the family's 1533-position model. The record is from RNAcentral. Lineage: Bacteria; Pseudomonadati; Pseudomonadota; Gammaproteobacteria; Oceanospirillales; Halomonadaceae.
CCUACGGGCGGCAGCAGUGGGGAAUAUUGGACAAUGGGCGAAAGCCUGAUCCAGCCAUGCCGCGUGUGUGAAGAAGGCCUUCGGGUUGUAAAGCACUUUCAGUGGGGAAGAAAGCCUUGGGGCUAAUACCCUCGAGGAAGGACAUCACCCACAGAAGAAGCACCGGCUAACUCCGUGCCAGCAGCCGCGGUAAUACGGAGGGUGCGAGCGUUAAUCGGAAUUACUGGGCGUAAAGCGCGCGUAGGCGGUCUGAUAAGCCGGUUGUGAAAGCCCCGGGCUCAACCUGGGAACGGCAUCCGGAACUGUCAGGCUAGAGUGCAGGAGAGGAAGGUAGAAUUCCCGGAGUAGCGGUGAAAUGCGUAGAGAUCGGGAGGAAUACCAGUGGCGAAGGCGGCCUUCUGGACUGACACUGACGCUGAGGUGCGAAAGCGUGGGUAGCAAACAGGAUUAGAUACCCGUGUAGUC